UACGUAGGGUCCGAGCGUUAAUCGGAAUUACUGGGCGUAAAGCGUGCGCAGGCGGUUUUGUAAGCCAGAUGUGAAAUCCCCGGGCUUAACCUGGGAAUGGCAUUUGAGACUGCAAGGCUUGAGUGCGGCAGAGGGGGGUGGAAUUCCACGUGUAGCAGUGAAAUGCGUAGAGAUGUGGAGGAACACCGAUGGCGAAGGCAGCCCCCUGGGUCGACACUGACGCUCAUGCACGAAAGCGUGGGGAGCAAACAGG
This 253-nucleotide ribosomal RNA is filed under the name uncultured bacterium. Its description in RNAcentral is "partial 16S ribosomal RNA". It matches the Rfam family "Bacterial small subunit ribosomal RNA", at positions 524 to 776 of the family's 1533-position model. The record is from RNAcentral.